This 1253-nucleotide long non-coding RNA is filed under the name Homo sapiens (human). Its description in RNAcentral is "non-protein coding lnc-MCPH1-7:1". The record is from RNAcentral. Lineage: Eukaryota; Metazoa; Chordata; Mammalia; Primates; Hominidae.
AUGGCGACAGCUGAGGUACUGAACACUGGUAAAAAAUUGUAUGAGGGUAAAACAAAAGAAGUCUACGAAAAGUCCUCCUGCAGUCCAAGGACAAGAUUACAGCAGGAAAUGUAGCUAGAAAGAAUCACCUGGAAGGAAAAGCUGCAAUCUCAAAGAAAAUCACCAGUUGUAUUUUUCAGUUAUUAUAGGAAGCAGGUAUUAAAACUGCCUUCACCAGAAAAUGUGGGGAGACAGCUUUCAUUGCACCCCAGUGCGAAAUGAUUCCAAUUGAAUGGGUUUGCAGAAGAAUAGCAACUGGUUCUUUUCUCAAAAGAAAUCCUGGUGUCAAGGAAGGAUAUAAGUUUACCCACCUAAAGUGGAGUUGUUUUUCAAGGAUGCUGCCAAUAAUGACCCACAGUGGUCUGAGGAACAGCUGAUUGCUGCAAAAUUUUGCUUCGCUGGACUUGUUACAGGCCAGACUGAAUUGGAUAUCAUGAGUCAUGCUACACAGGCUAUAUUUGAAAUGCUGGAGAAAUCCUGGUUGCCCCAGAAUUGUACACUGGUUGAUAUGAAGAUUGAAUUUGGUGUUGAUGUAACCACAAAGAAAUUGUUCUUGCUGAUGUAAUUGACAAUGAUUCCUGGAGACUCUGGCCAUCAGGAGAUCGAAGCCAACAGAAAGACAAACAGUGUUAUCGGGAUCUCAAAGAAGUAACUCCUGAAGGGCUCCAAAUGGUAAAGAAAAACUUUGAGUGGGUUGCAGAGAAAGUAGAGUUGCUUUUGAAAUCAGAAAGUCAGUGCAGGGUUGUAGUGUUGAUGGGCUCUACUUCUGAUCUUGGUCACUGUGAAAAAAUCAAGAAGGCCUGUGGAAAUUUUGGCAUUCCAUGUGAACUUUGAGUAACAUCUGCGCAUAAAGGACCAGAUGAAACUCUGAGGGUUAAAGCUGAGUAUGAAAGGGAUGGCAUUCCUACUGUAUUUGUGGCAGUGGCAGGCAGAAGUAAUGGUUUGGGACCAGUGAUGUCUGGGAACACUGCAUAUCCAGUUAUCACCUGUCCUCCCCUCACACCAGACUGGGGAGCUCAGGAUGUGUGGUCUUCUCUUUGACUACCCAGGGUCUUGGCUGUUCAACCACACUUUCUCCAGAAGGAUCAGCUCAAUUUACUGCUCAGAUAUUUGGGGUAGACAACCAUUUAGUAUGGAGCAAACUGUGAGCAAGCAUUUUGAACACAUGUAUUUCCUUGAAGCAGGCUGACAAGAAAAUCAGAGAAUGUAAUUUA